GGGAUUUAGCUCAGUUGGGGGAACGCGUCAAUCGCAUUGACGAGGUCAGGGGUUCAAGUCCCCUAAUCUCCA
Molecule: transfer RNA, 72 nt
Filed under: Chloroflexota bacterium
Lineage: Bacteria; Bacillati; Chloroflexota
Description: Chloroflexi bacterium tRNA-Ala
Rfam family: tRNA
About the family: Transfer RNA (tRNA) molecules are approximately 80 nucleotides in length. Their secondary structure includes four short double-helical elements and three loops (D, anti-codon, and T loops).
Source: RNAcentral